This 329-nucleotide ribosomal RNA is filed under the name Hemicordylus nebulosus (dwarf crag lizard). RNAcentral describes it as "partial 16S large subunit ribosomal RNA". The record is from RNAcentral. Lineage: Eukaryota; Metazoa; Chordata; Lepidosauria; Squamata; Cordylidae.
GCCAGCACCAAAGCCUAGCCAAUUAACCAAACAUACUAUACCCAUAUUAAACCAAAUCAUUUGACUAAAAAAGUAUUUGAGAAAGAACUUUAAAACCUAGAGCAACACCACCGCAAGGGAAAAGUGAAAGAAAAAUGAAAGACAUAAAGCACAACAAAGCAAAGAUUUACCCUUGUACCUCUCGCAUCAUGAUUUAGCGAGCAACCCCCAGACUAAGAGCCUUAAGCCUGGUUUCCCGAAACUACGUGAGCUACUUCCGGGCAAUAACACGAAUCAACUCGUCUCUGUGGCAAAAGAGUGAGAUGACCUAGAAGUAGUGGUGAAAAGCC